AAUAGGCUAAUUAAGAGCGUAAGGGGAAUGCCUUGGCUCUCAGAGGCGAUGAAGGACGUGAUAAGCUGCGAUAAGCUGUGGGGAGUGGCACAAACACUUUGAUCCGCAGAUUUCCGAAUGGGGUAACCCGGCAUAUUGAAGAUAUGUCACACUGUAAAGUGAGCGAACCUGGUGAACUGAAACAUCUAAGUAACCAGAGGAAUAGAAAACAAAAGUGAUUCCGCUAGUAGUGGCGAGCGAACGUGGAAUAGCCUAAACCUAUGUUGUUAAGGCAAUAUAGGGGUUGUAGGACCUCAACAUUUAAUGCUAAUAGGACUAGAAUUUACUGGAAAGUAAAACCAUA
Molecule: ribosomal RNA, 343 nt
Filed under: uncultured Flavobacteriaceae bacterium
Lineage: Bacteria; Pseudomonadati; Bacteroidota; Flavobacteriia; Flavobacteriales; Flavobacteriaceae
Description: bacterial LSU rRNA
Rfam family: Bacterial large subunit ribosomal RNA
Source: RNAcentral